RNAcentral lists this transfer RNA (78 nucleotides) under Faecalibacterium sp. i21-0019-B1. RNAcentral's name for it is "tRNA-Arg". It matches the Rfam family "tRNA". Rfam says of the family: Transfer RNA (tRNA) molecules are approximately 80 nucleotides in length. RNAcentral also lists the same sequence under 2 other names. The record is from RNAcentral. Lineage: Bacteria; Bacillati; Bacillota; Clostridia; Eubacteriales; Oscillospiraceae.
UGUCUCUAUACCUCAGCUGGAUAGAGGGUUCGCCUCCUAAGCGAAACGCCCCCGGUUCGAACCCGGGUAGGGACAUCC